UAAACUCCGCCUACGUGUGCAUGUGUCUG
This 29-nucleotide non-coding RNA is filed under the name Mus musculus (house mouse). The record is from RNAcentral. Lineage: Eukaryota; Metazoa; Chordata; Mammalia; Rodentia; Muridae.